RNAcentral lists this ribosomal RNA (445 nucleotides) under actinobacterium SCGC AAA278-O22. RNAcentral describes it as "bacterial SSU rRNA". It matches the Rfam family "Bacterial small subunit ribosomal RNA", at positions 346 to 804 of the family's 1533-position model. Lineage: Bacteria; Bacillati; Actinomycetota; Actinomycetes. The record is from RNAcentral.
AUGCAGCAGUGGGGAAUAUUGGGCAAUGGAGGAAACUCUGACCCAGCGACGCCGCGUGAGGGAUGAAGGCCUUCGGGUUGUAAACCUCUUUCAGUAGGGAAGAAGCGAAAGUGACGGUACCUACAGAAGAAGCACCGGCUAACUAUGUGCCAGCAGCCGCGGUAAUACAUAGGGUGCAAGCGUUGUCCGGAAUUAUUGGGCGUAAAGAGCUCGUAGGUGGUUCGAUACGUCGGAUGUGAAAAUCAGGGGCUCAACCCCUGACCUGCAUCCGAUACGGUCGAGCUAGAGUUUGGUAGGGGAGACUGGAAUUCCUGGUGUAGCGGUGGAAUGCGCAGAUAUCAGGAGGAACACCGAUGGCGAAGGCAGGUCUCUGGGCCAAUACUGACACUGAGGAGCGAAAGCGUGGGGAGCGAACAGGAUUAGAUACCCUUGUAGUCCGGUCAUA